Molecule: long non-coding RNA, 389 nt
Filed under: Helianthus annuus (common sunflower)
Lineage: Eukaryota; Viridiplantae; Streptophyta; Magnoliopsida; Asterales; Asteraceae
Description: sRNA HanXRQr2_Chr17g0821681
Source: RNAcentral
UUAAGCUUGCUAACAUACAUCUCAAUUCUCUCUCUUGUUUAACAAGGUUUUGUGGUUGAAUUUUCUGGUCUGGUGGCUAACGAGUGUAAUUAUGAGAGAGUCUAUUGUGUUUGGAGUAACGUAUAUGCAUACAUGAACAGGUUCCGGGUUGUGCGGCGAGUUCUUCUUUGCGACCCUCUAGCUUUUUGAAACGCAAAUUUGUGCAUUAAGGGCUAACAUGCAUGUUAAUUGGAUGAACGUUGACCUCUUGGAUGUUGCAUGAAGCUACCCGACAUUUGGAGAUGGCAUUUCUAGUCGAAGUCGCUUGUUUAUGAACUCAAUUACCAUACAUUAAAUUUGGUAUUUAAAUUUAGAUGUUUCACAUGUUUCAAAAAUUUGACUUUAAUGUU